AGAAAUGACGACAUCUGACACCAAAAGCGAAACAUCCCAGGAAAAGCCUGAAAUGACCUCGUCUGACACCAAAAAGGAAACAGUCCAGGAAACAGAAAAGCCUGAAAUGACGACAUCUGACACCAAAAGAGAAACAUCCCAGGAUAAAGAAAAGUCUG
Long non-coding RNA from Sinocyclocheilus rhinocerous, 158 nucleotides. RefSeq lists it as uncharacterized. The transcript has 3 exons. The record is from RefSeq and is a predicted model, not a curated record. Lineage: Eukaryota; Metazoa; Chordata; Actinopteri; Cypriniformes; Cyprinidae.